UCUGAUUACUGAGAGACACGAAUAUGUAUAGAAGAGGAAAUCUAAGUUUUAGAUUACUGUUGACCUGUGGGAGGAGGCUAUACUAUCAUAGUCUAAUACA
Long non-coding RNA from Etheostoma spectabile (orangethroat darter), 100 nucleotides. RefSeq lists it as uncharacterized. The record is from RefSeq and is a predicted model, not a curated record. The transcript is spliced from 4 exons. Lineage: Eukaryota; Metazoa; Chordata; Actinopteri; Perciformes; Percidae.